RNAcentral lists this non-coding RNA (86 nucleotides) under Azomonas macrocytogenes. Lineage: Bacteria; Pseudomonadati; Pseudomonadota; Gammaproteobacteria; Pseudomonadales; Pseudomonadaceae. The record is from RNAcentral.
UGUUGUGGCGGGCUGUGCGCGGGAGGCCUUGUACCUGCCGGGUCCUAUUCCCCGGUCGACCAACCUGCGUACGGUUCGCCUCCAUU